CAAAAAGAAAAGAGAACUGCCUGUAUUUUCAGAUUUAUUUCUGAACUGAUAAAUUUGUCAAGAGUAGAUCAUAUGUAUGAAACAAUCCAUUUCAAUUGUCAUAUUUUUAAUUAAAAAAGUCAAAAGCAACUAUCACCAUUUAUAGCUCGUUCCAAGGAAACGAUGAAUUCAAAGUACAGUUCAAGAUGUAAACACAACCAUAAACCUGUGAAACUUCUUUGACUUUUCACCCUAAGUAGAGAACAACAAAUUUUGAAAUACUGUCAUUUCCUUCAAGACGUAAAUUUUUGUUCGACUGUAAUAAAACAUGGGAUGGAAUAUGAGUCAUCCUCACUUGUCUGAUUGUGGAGGUUGUUUGAAUGGGUUGUUCGUAGUUCAGCCCUAUGCUGUUUUCGUGGACCAGGUCUUAGAAUAAUUGUGUUCUGAUAGUGAACAGGACAUCUAUCUAUAUAAACCCCACCCUGGUGCAUCUGUGGAUCCAGCUAUCUUCCUUUCUCUUCCUUUUGCUUUUUUUUUUCUGUUGUUGUUGUUAAUGUGAAGCUCUGAGAAGUGUAACACUUCAUAUAUGAUUCAUGACAACUUUAAAGUUAAUGCUGACACUUAAGUCCUUGUUGCCCAAGAGCUACUAACUUAAUUAGAGAGUGCUGUGCUGGAAUUAGUAUAGAAAUAAAAUACCUCUUCAGAGAAAUUUCAGUGACUAAAAUUACAGAACAAGAGGAAAAUGGAAAAUAACAUCUACAGGCCUGUUUCUCUCCACCGACUCCAAAGGAGUGUAGGAUGACUAGUAGGGUCGUACAUGUCCAAUUGAAGACAUCUAAAGUUAUCUGAUAUGAUCUCCCCUUUGUAAUUUGAAAAUUAACCUUUGGUAUCCCUAGUGAAUAGUCAUUGAAUUUCAAAACAGAUGAUUUCAAAUUUUCUUUUGUUUGAUCUUGUUUGCUUGUUGGUUUUUGUUUCUUUUUCUUCUCUUCUCUUCUCUUCUCUUCUCUUCUCUUCUCUUCUCUUCUCUUCUCUUCUCUUCUCUUCUCUUCUCUU
This 1032-nucleotide long non-coding RNA is filed under the name Anser brachyrhynchus (Pink-footed goose). RNAcentral's name for it is "lncRNA (ENSABRG00000012919.1)". The record is from RNAcentral. Lineage: Eukaryota; Metazoa; Chordata; Aves; Anseriformes; Anatidae.